RNAcentral lists this ribosomal RNA (253 nucleotides) under uncultured bacterium. Its description in RNAcentral is "partial 16S ribosomal RNA". It matches the Rfam family "Bacterial small subunit ribosomal RNA", at positions 524 to 776 of the family's 1533-position model. The record is from RNAcentral.
UACGUAGGGUGCAAGCGUUAUCCGGAAUUAUUGGGCGUAAAGAGCUCGUAGGUGGUUUGUCGCGUUGUUCGUGAAAACUCACAGCUCAACUGUGGGCGUGCGGGCGAUACGGGCAGACUAGAGUACUGCAGGGGAGACUGGAAUUCCUGGUGUAGCGGUGGAAUGCGCAGAUAUCAGGAGGAACACCGGUGGCGAAGGCGGCGAUCUGGGUCGAUACUGACGCUGAGGUGCGAAAGCGUGGGGAGCAAACAGG